GACGAACGCUGGCGGCGUGCCUAACACAUGCAAGUCGAACGGAAAGGCGCGGCUUUUGCGGGGUGCUCGAUUGGGGAACGGGUGAGUAACACGUGUGUAACCUGCCCUUGACAUAGGGAUAACAUUAGGAAACUGGGGCUAAUACCGGAUAGGAGCUCCUGCAGCAUGGUGGGGGUUGGAAAGUUUCGGCGGUUGGGGAUGGUCUCGCGGCUUAUCAGCUUGUUGGUGGGGUAGUGGCUUACCAAGGCUUUGACGGGUAGCCGGCCUGAGAGGGUGACCGGCCACAUUGGGCCUGAGAUACGGCCCAGCCUCCUACGGGAGGCAGCAGUGGGGAGUAUUACACAAUGGGCGGGAGCCUGAUGCAGCCACGCCGCGUGCGGGAUGACGGCCUUCGGGUUGUGAACCGCUUUCGCCUGUGCCGAAGAGUGAGUGACGGUACUGGGUAAAGAAGCCCCGGCUAACUACGUG
Molecule: ribosomal RNA, 468 nt
Filed under: uncultured bacterium
Lineage: Bacteria
Description: partial 16S ribosomal RNA
Rfam family: Bacterial small subunit ribosomal RNA
Source: RNAcentral